This is a non-coding RNA of Drosophila takahashii, 379 nucleotides long. NCBI's taxonomy places the organism in Eukaryota, Metazoa, Arthropoda, Insecta, Diptera, Drosophilidae. The record is from RefSeq and is a predicted model, not a curated record.
ACCAUAAAAACCUACGGCCAUAGUCUAAACCAAAACCAAAUAAAGUUACAAGCUAAAUUAAUUAAAUUUGUUGUGCCAAAUCCACUGGGUUUCGGCGUCCAGAUACCUGGAGACGAAAGUACGGGAAAUCUACGGCAAGAAGCUAUCCAAAACCAAGCGAGAAAAAGCCAGAAGUUACGGCGAGAGAGCAGCGGUGCUCCAAGAGAGAAGAGGAAGAACCAGUUUUCGACAUCGCGAGCAGCUGAGACGACGGCGUUAGAGCGCUGCUACUUUAAGCCCGGUUUUUUCGGUCCGCGAGUGCGCUAAAGGCCGUUGGGAUGUUUGGGGGAGCCUAAGGGCCUAUGAGGAUGCAGUGAGGCAGAUUUGUGGCGGAGCAGAA